CCUCCUUUCUAAGGAAAUCGAAAAAUAUUAAAACAAUUAUUUUCGAUUUAAAAAAAACCGGUAAUGUGACCGUCCUCAUUUCUCUUCUUUUAAUGUUUCUGAGUAUAUGUAAAGGGGCCGGUAGCUCAGGUGGUUAGAGCGCACCCCUGAUAAGGGUGAGGUCGGAAGUUCGAGUCUUCCUCGGCCCACCAAUAUUAAGGGGGAUUAGCUCAGCUGGGAGAGCGCCUGAUUUGCAUACAGGAGGUCAGCGGUUCGAUCCCGCUAUCCUCCACCAACACAUAGAGACAUUUAGCUUUUUUAAAUUGUGAAUAUUAAUAUUAUCAAUAUCUAUAUCUGAUUGUUUUCAAAAAAAUAUCUGAAAACAAUCAAAACAAUAAUUUGAAUUUUACACAGAAAGUUUUUUCUGUGCAUAAAUCAAGCGUUUAAGGGCGAUUGGCGGAUGCCUUGGCACUGUAAGUCGAUGAAGGACGUGGUAUACUGCGAUAAGUUCGGGGAGUUGUAUGCAGGCUUUGAUCCGAAGAU
Molecule: unclassified non-coding RNA, 522 nt
Filed under: uncultured Pelagibacterales bacterium
Lineage: Bacteria; Pseudomonadati; Pseudomonadota; Alphaproteobacteria; Candidatus Pelagibacterales
Description: partial 16S-23S ribosomal RNA intergenic spacer
Rfam family: Bacterial large subunit ribosomal RNA (bases 413-522)
Source: RNAcentral